This 301-nucleotide ribosomal RNA is filed under the name uncultured bacterium. Its description in RNAcentral is "partial 16S ribosomal RNA". It matches the Rfam family "Bacterial small subunit ribosomal RNA", at positions 509 to 807 of the family's 1533-position model. The record is from RNAcentral.
CAGCCGCCGCGGUAAUACGGAGGAUCCAAGCGUUAUCCGGAAUCAUUGGGUUUAAAGGGUCCGUAGGCGGUCUUGUAAGUCAGUGGUGAAAGCCCAUCGCUCAACGGUGGAACGGCCAUUGAUACUGCAGGACUUGAAUUAUUGGGAAGUAACUAGAAUAUGUAGUGUAGCGGUGAAAUGCUUAGAGAUUACAUGGAAUACCAAUUGCGAAGGCAGGUUACUACCAAUUGAUUGACGCUGAUGGACGAAAGCGUGGGUAGCGAACAGGAUUAGAGACCCCCGUAGUCCCUGUCUCUUAUAC